Long non-coding RNA from Raphanus sativus (radish), 1368 nucleotides. RefSeq lists it as uncharacterized. NCBI's taxonomy places the organism in Eukaryota, Viridiplantae, Streptophyta, Magnoliopsida, Brassicales, Brassicaceae. The transcript is spliced from 5 exons. The record is from RefSeq and is a predicted model, not a curated record.
GUGUCCGUGUUAAUGAAACGCAUCGUCUUUUACGGUGCUCCUCCACUCCUCUGCUUCUCCUUGACACAGCUCGAGCAUAAUUUUACCUUCUCCGUUUCUGAUCAGUAACGGCUGCUUCUACCACUCUUUCUCAUUAAACCCCUAAUUUAAUCCUUCAAUCGAGAGCUAUGCCACCGAUCCGAAUCCCUCUGUUUUACACGUCAUAUAAACCCAACUCCGAAAUCUCUGCUCCUCACAAAAUUGACGAAAUCCUGCAAAAUCACAUCAGGCAAUGGCGACCACCGGGAUUCAAUUAUGUGUUAUAGUGUCUCAGUUGAUCUCUGGAGCCUCGGCUGUGUUUUCUCUGUGAUUCUUACCAGAAGACCACUUCCUAAAGGAAGAACCUAGAUUGAACAAUUUCACAGAAUUACCAGAUGAAGAAUUAUGGGAAAAGAACCAGCUUCAUUCUCAAAUUAAGAUAUUUAGACCACAACAUGAAUAUGAAUGUUGUUUGAGUAAAAGAUUUGAGUAGUUUCUGAAAAAGGCAGUUUCUCUUCAUGGAAUCUAUUAUCUAAUCCAGACAUACGAGGAUCUGCCUCUUCUGCUCUCAUGUGAAAGUACUUUAACACAAAGCCUUACGCUUUGACAUUACCUAAGUACCCUCCUAACAAAGAAAUGGAUUGCUAAGUACCAUGAAGAACUUCAAGAAGGGAAGAGUUGGUACAAAGAAAUUAAAAAAAAAACUUGGUAUUCAACAAUACGGGGAAAUCACAUAAAACAUUCAAAGAGCCUAACAUCUUAAUAAGUCACCAGUCCAACAGGAAGCGAAAAAGGAAGCCCAGACAAAAAUCAUUCUCCCAACGCCACCGGAAACAUCUCAGUGAUGACUUGAACCAAGGAAAUAAAAUGGUGCCGCUACAACACUUACUUAUAAUCAUCCUACUGGAUCUGCGAGCCACGUUAGUAUAAAAGAAGGCAAACUGAGCUUUCUUUGACCGCAAGUUUUGUUUAGACUCCUCUGAUGUGUUACUGUUACCUGGCAAGCAUCACAAGAAAUCAGAAGAGGAUAUCGUGAGUCCAUUAGGCUUUGACGAAAGCUGAGACGGAGCCAAAGAUUUUUUCCACUAAUUGGAUGAAUGAGGUAUUACGGAGGACUGAGAGUGAUACUAGAUUCGGUGUUCGAAGCUAUCAAAAAUAGCAAGAGGUUAAAAUGAGGGAAAAAGAACUACCAUUACUUUUAGAUUAUUUGCACAGUUCGCACCCUGUGUAAAUUACAAAUUUGUCCCAGAUGCGUGUUAGGUUCUAAUGUGAAGUUUAAUUUGUUGAAAUUAUGGUCAUAAGCUUGGUAACCUGGCCGGGAAUUAAUAAGGUAGCCAAUUCAACUUAGUC